UACGGAGGGAGCUAGCGUUGUUCGGACUUACUGGGCGUAAAGCGCACGUGGGCGGCUUUUUAAGUCAGGGGUGAAAUCCCGGGGCUCAACCUCGGAACUGCCCUUGAAACCGGGAAGCUAGAAUCUUGGAGAGGCGAGUGGAAUUCCGAGUGUAGAGGUGAAAUUCGUAGAUAUUCGGAAGAACACCAGUGGCGAAGGCGACUCGCUGGACAAGUAUUGACGCUGAGGUGCGAAAGCGUGGGGAGCAAACAGG
This 253-nucleotide ribosomal RNA is filed under the name uncultured bacterium. RNAcentral describes it as "partial 16S ribosomal RNA". It matches the Rfam family "Bacterial small subunit ribosomal RNA", at positions 524 to 776 of the family's 1533-position model. The record is from RNAcentral.